AAAGAGAGUUUGAUCCUGGCUCAGGAUGAACGCUGGCGAGAUGCUUUACACAUGCAAGUCGUACGAGAGUUUUAAACUCAAGUGGCGGACGGGUGAGUAACACGUAAGAAUUUACCUUUAGGAGGGGGACAACAGACAGAAAUGACUGCUAAUACCCCAUAUGCUUUCGAGUGAAAUGGAUUUUUCCGCCUAGAGAGAAGCUUGCGGCUGAUUAGCUUGUUGGUAAGCCAUUACCUUACC
This 240-nucleotide ribosomal RNA is filed under the name uncultured Nitzschia. RNAcentral's name for it is "partial Bacterial small subunit ribosomal RNA". It matches the Rfam family "Bacterial small subunit ribosomal RNA", at positions 1 to 269 of the family's 1533-position model. Lineage: Eukaryota; Bacillariophyta; Bacillariophyceae; Bacillariales; Bacillariaceae. The record is from RNAcentral.